UUACUCAUGGCAGUUUAUAUUUACUAAAAUUAUUAUUAUUUUUUAAUGCUAGUGGUUUGAUGUGUGGAAGAACAUUUGUUUGACAUAAUUAUUUUUUUAAUGUUAGUGGCGUGAUGUGUGGAAAAAUAUUUGUUUGACAUAAACAAAAUGAAAAAUAAAAAAUGACAUCAUAUAUAAUAAAAUUGGAUUAAUUUACUAUUGUAUCGAUAGUAGACUCUCAUUCCCCCUUUUUAUUAGAAGUUAAAAAAGGUGUGGGGGAGAUUACAAGGAUCAUAUGAUAAAUUGGCAGACAAUUGUUAAUGUUCUGGGUAGGAUGAUUGGGUCAGGUUAAUUAUUUUAGGAGCAUGUCUAUGGUAGCUAAGUAGUCUCAAGUUACUUUUCUAUUGGAAUAUUGUUUCUUUGGAAUAUGUUAAUCAGAGGGAUAUAUGAUUUAUAGCCAAAUGGAUGGUAUUUUAGAUUUUGCCCCUAUUUAUUUAUGCUAGACUUUUUAAGUUUACCUUGUGGCCAAAGGCAGCAGAACAUGAGCGAUCAGAGAUACUCAACAUGGAGCAUAAUUUAUGAGAUUUUGCCUUGAUAGUUUUCAAAGUGUGUAUUUAUAUCUAUUGUGCCUUGCCUUCUUCUUUUUCUCAGCUAAGUGGUUUAAAUUCUAUCUUAACCUUUAAACAACUUCCGUCUAUCCCAAUGGUAUUCUAGGUUCCCAACUGAUUUCUAGGUUUUUACUUAGUGAUUGAUUUUUUGUCUCUUUCUAAUUAUUGCAAUCAACAUCUAUUUUUUUUUUUUAUUUCGACUGCAGUGAGCUUUUGCUUCAUUUCUAUGCCAGUUCAGUAAAAAAGAAACAUGAGAAAAUUAUAUUUUGAAAUACAUUGUUGUAUUUCAAGUUGUAAUAGAAAUUGUUUUCCUCAUGUAAAUUUGAACUUUUGCCGGACGCCUUUUCAUACA
RNAcentral lists this long non-coding RNA (939 nucleotides) under Olea europaea subsp. europaea. Lineage: Eukaryota; Viridiplantae; Streptophyta; Magnoliopsida; Lamiales; Oleaceae. The record is from RNAcentral.